GACCAGUGCCAAGGUAUAAAAUCUGCUCUGUAAACUUACGACGAAGUGGAGAAAUGUGUGCAUAAGCUGUUUAUUUGGUGAUUUCAACGUAUAUGGCAGCCCUCUUUCCAAUAAUAUUCGCUUUUCGCAGUUCGCACAGAAUAACACCAACUGAUAUAAUAGUUCAAAUGCAAUGAUAAGUUACCUCUUGAAUUACAUCUCAGAAACUGUGUUGGAAAUGGAAAUGCUGACCCAUUCCAUAAGAUUACCGUUUUACAUCGUUGUAUAAAACAUUUUGAUCGCAUGUAAGGAAUUAUUUCUCAUCCCAGAGAUA
This is a non-coding RNA of Paramuricea clavata, 313 nucleotides long. The record is from the annotation of a GenBank genome assembly. NCBI's taxonomy places the organism in Eukaryota, Metazoa, Cnidaria, Anthozoa, Malacalcyonacea, Plexauridae.